Molecule: ribosomal RNA, 464 nt
Filed under: uncultured bacterium
Lineage: Bacteria
Description: partial 16S ribosomal RNA
Rfam family: Bacterial small subunit ribosomal RNA
Source: RNAcentral
GAUGAACGCUGACAGAAUGCUUAACACAUGCAAGUCUUUGGCGAAGCUGUGCUUGCACAGCCUAGCCAAGGCGGACGGGUGAGUAACGCGUAAGGAACUUGCCCUGCAGUCAGGGAUAACAGACGGAAAACGACUGAUAAGACCUGGUAAAGUCAGGCGGACUCAUGUCCAGCCUGAUGAAAAGAGAUGCUGCAGGAGAGCCUUGCGUCCUAUUAGCUUGUUGGUGGGGUAACGGCCCACCAAGGCGAUGAUAGGUAGCCGGCCUGAGAGGGUGGACGGCCACAAGGGGACUGAGAUACGGCCCUUACUCCUACGGGAGGCAGCAGUGGGGAAUAUUGGACAAUGGGGGCAACCCUGAUCCAGCAAUUCUGUGUGCACGAUGAAGGUUUUCGGAUUGUAAAGUGCUUUCAGCAGGGAAGAAAAAAAUGACGGUACCUGCAGAAGAAGCGACGGCUAAAUACGUG